RNAcentral lists this ribosomal RNA (484 nucleotides) under uncultured bacterium. Its description in RNAcentral is "partial 16S ribosomal RNA". It matches the Rfam family "Bacterial small subunit ribosomal RNA", at positions 30 to 507 of the family's 1533-position model. The record is from RNAcentral.
AUUGAACGCUGGCGGCAUGCUUUACACAUGCAAGUCGAACGGCAGCACGGGGGCAGCCCUGGUGGCGAGUGGCGAACGGGUGAGUAAUACAUCGGAACGUGCCCGGUCGUGGGGGAUAACGUAGCGAAAGUUACGCUAAUACCGCAUACGAUCUGAGGAUGAAAGCGGGGGACCUUCGGGCCUCGCGCGAUCGGAGCGGCCGAUGUCAGAUUAGGUAGUUGGUGGGGUAAAGGCCUACCAAGCCGACGAUCUGUAGCUGGUCUGAGAGGACGACCAGCCACACUGGGACUGAGACACGGCCCAGACUCCUACGGGAGGCGGCAGUGGGGAAUUUUGGACAAUGGGCGCAAGCCUGAUCCAGCCAUUCCGCGUGCAGGACGAAGGCCUUCGGGUUGUAAACUGCUUUUGUACGGAACGAAAAGGCUCUGGCUAAUACCUGGGGCUCAUGACGGUACCGUAAGAAUAAGCACCGGCUAACUACGUG